Molecule: long non-coding RNA, 1664 nt
Organism: Engraulis encrasicolus (European anchovy)
Lineage: Eukaryota; Metazoa; Chordata; Actinopteri; Clupeiformes; Engraulidae
Exons: 4
Source: RefSeq, a predicted model, not a curated record
CAACUAUUCAUUUUGAAUCUUGCCCUGAAUCUGGCAAGAUGGUAACUAAACCAAUCACAAUGCAGAGAUGUGUUUUGAAUCAACGCGGGCGGGGCAGAGGGUUCUGGGGCGGGGUUUUGAGGGAGUGACGACAUAGCAGUGAGACGCUGGGCAGUGGAGAAAGCACAAGAAACAUGGCGGCGGCAAUGGAACAGCGCUCGUUUGAUUCUGCAUUGGCAUCAGACUUGGGGUUUUCGUUAAAACGUGAGCAAGAGGAGGCUCUUCAUUCAUUUUUAAGAAGGACGUUUUCGCCGUGUUACCGACAGGCUAUGGCAAAAGUCUUAUCUACCAGUUAACUCCACUGGUAGCCGAAAUGAUGGGGCUCUUUGAAAACCCGAUGGUGGUACCGGUAGUCGUCUCGCCCUUGUUAGCCCUAAUGGUAGACCAGGCGAAGGAGGCGAGCAAUUUUGGACUCACUGCCAUGCAACUGGGCGUCGAUAACCCAGCAAACAUAAAAAUAUGUCGUCAGUGCCAGUUGGUCUUCGGAGCAGUCAGGAGGCAUGGCUUUUGCUGAACGCGACGUGUUGUCUUCCAAGACAAGGUCCUCGGAGUGGACGAGGUUCACCUCAUAUAAUGGGGGAAACGUGACAAAGGGAAGGCCUUCAGGUAUUGUUUUGGCAAGCUAGGAGAACACAUCUGACAGACAAAAAGGUUUCAUCAAAGACACACAGACAGCUCCUGAAGUAAAGGACCUACACAGGACCUUCAUAUCAAGGACAUUGACUGUGUGGAUCUCGAGGUGCAGUUACCCAAAAGUUGCUACCCACAGAAUACCAGGUUUUGAGGGAUCCUGCCAGAGCAGAGAAUCAACAGAUACAUUGAAGAGGAGACUCCGACAUGACCGCCGGCAUCUUGUGUUAUUCACCCCACCACUUGUAAUACUGAAUGCCUGAAUUGUUGUUUGCUGCUCAGACUUUGUCAACAGAUAUGGUCUUCGACAUGUUACCUUUAGGUGUGGAAACAGAUUGUGACAGUCCAGCAAAAUGAGCCAGACAGAUAGUAACACUGAAAAAGGACAACGUUGUUCCCAUGGCCUCCCACUGCAGAAGACUACAGACGCUCAGUAAAGCACAAACAGCUGUUCCUCUUGUACUUAAUAAUUUAGUCAGCUGGAUUCUAGGUGCCACUAAGGAGCCAACAGUGGAUAAUUUUGUCAACAUUUCAAUGGCAUACAUUAAAAGGGCAGCCUGUAAUUGUUUGCCUUGCCUCCAUCUUCCUUGCCACCAAGGGGUUGUAGACCGAUGCCCUAGUAGUCCUCCUGUUUAGGUACAACCAUGCAGUUAGGCCAGUCUAUUGAAGCAUAUACUUAUGACUGUUUGUAUGUGUUGUGUAUCUAGUAAUGGAUAAAUUACCACAUGAAUAACUGCAUAUUCAUUAUAUUGAUAAUUAUAAUGGCUUCCAUUAUUGAUUAAAAAAGGGAUCUACCACCACUUGCAUUAUUGUUUUGUUAUUAUUGAAGCACUGUUAGGAAUCCAGGAAGACGGAUGCCGAGGCAAUCAAGGUUGCAUUUUUUUCCCUUUUUUAUUUGGCUACAAUGCCUCAGCAUCUGUCUUCCUGGACCAAGUUUGACAGCCCCUACACUGAUGAGCACCAAGGGAAAAAGGUGAAGACCCAGAAGCACUCCA